UCUCAGUCAGCAAUAUAAAGUUGCUAAUGUGUUGGGCACAACAUGAAAUCCUUUAUUAUAAUCAUGUAUUCCUCGGAGUAGGUAAGUCAAUAACUAUAGGUGGAUUUAGUGGCUGGUAAUUCACAGUGCACACAGAUGCAUUCACGUAGGUAGUAGUUCCAUCAGCCAUGACACCAUAACCUUCAUGGAUAUGUCCGAACACAUGAAGCCUUGGCUGUAUUCGUCUCUGGACUGUGUUCAGCAGCUCUACACAUCCUACCCGUUG
This 265-nucleotide long non-coding RNA is filed under the name Gallus gallus (chicken). The record is from RNAcentral. Lineage: Eukaryota; Metazoa; Chordata; Aves; Galliformes; Phasianidae.